Molecule: ribosomal RNA, 290 nt
Filed under: uncultured bacterium
Lineage: Bacteria
Description: partial 16S ribosomal RNA
Rfam family: Bacterial small subunit ribosomal RNA
Source: RNAcentral
UGCCAGCAGCCGCGGUAAUACGUAUGGUGCAAGCGUUGUCCGGAAUUACUGGGCGUAAAGAGUUCGUAGGCGGUUAGAUUAGUCAGAAGUGAAAGGCUACGGCUCAACCGUAGUAAGCUUUUGAAACUGUCUAACUUGAGUACUGGAGAGGAAAGCGGAAUUCCUAGUGUAGCGGUGAAAUGCGUAGAUAUUAGGAAGAACACCAGUGGCGAAGGCGGCUUUCUGGACAGUAACUGACGCUGAGGAACGAAAGCGUGGGGAGCGAACAGGAUUAGAAACCCCCGUAGUCC